Molecule: ribosomal RNA, 238 nt
Filed under: uncultured bacterium
Lineage: Bacteria
Description: partial 16S ribosomal RNA
Rfam family: Bacterial small subunit ribosomal RNA
Source: RNAcentral
CGGCGGACGGGUGAGUAACGCGUGGGUAACCUACCCUGUACACACGGAUAACAUACCGAAAGGUAUGCUAAUACAGGAUAAUAUAUUUGAGAGGCAUCUCUUGAAUAUCAAAGGUGAGCCAGUACAGGAUGGACCCGCGUCUGAUUAGCUAGUUGGUAAGGUAACGGCUUACCAAGGCGACGAUCAGUAGCCGACCCGAGAGGGUGAUCGGCCACAUUGGAACUGAGACACGGUCCAA